This 1008-nucleotide ribosomal RNA is filed under the name Corypholophus sp. MPE04249. Its description in RNAcentral is "partial large subunit ribosomal RNA". It matches the Rfam family "Eukaryotic large subunit ribosomal RNA", at positions 129 to 773 of the family's 3401-position model. The record is from RNAcentral. Lineage: Eukaryota; Metazoa; Arthropoda; Diplopoda; Polydesmida; Opisotretidae.
CUUGGCGGGGUGCAAUGUGGUGUUCGGGAGGGGUUACUCGUGCCUCGAGCUCUGCGUCCAAGUCCCCCUGACUGGGGCCAUCGCCCGUUGAGGGUGCAAGGCCUGUUGGGCAGGGCAAAGUCACGGAUCGAGGCGCGUUUAUCCCCUUCCUUGGAGUCGGGUUGCUUGAGAGUGCAGCCCAAAGCGGGUGGUAAACUCCACCUAAGGCUAAAUACUUGCCACGAGACCGAUAGCAAACAAGUACCGUGAGGGAAAGUUGCAAAGAACUUUGAAGAGAGAGUUCAAGAGUGCGUGAAACCGUUUGGAGGUAAACGGGUGAGAGCUCGAAGGUCGAAAGGACGGGGAGGGAUUCAACUUGGCGCGGCCGACGGCGCGCUCGCCGCUGGCGUAGGAUGGCGUCUCCGUCCGGGUUCUGCCCGGGCGAGCGUCGUCCCGCCGGCGGUGCGCGACGGCAGGUCUGUGCUUUGUGCAUUUCCCUGCACCCCCUCUCCUAGUAGGACGCCGCGACCGGCUGUCGAGGGAAGCCCAAAAGCUGGGCGGAGCAGCUGCGCGGACGAUGUGGGACCCGUUCCCCUCGUCCGGUCUGUCUGUCUCCGUCCGCCCGCGGGUCGCUUCCUCCGGCCGAGGAGCUGAGCGGGGAUCCCCUCGUGGGGUCCCCGUCCAUGCGCGUGCCCACGAUUGUUAACGUUGCGGGUCGAAAGAGCCCAACGGACGGCCGCGGGUGUCGGCGCGCCGGUCUUAACGGCCGCGCGUGUCGGCGUCCCUGCGCGCUGUUGUCGGUCAGGGUGCGGACUCCCGCCUUUGAGGGCGCUUGGGGUCAGCGGCGAGUAGGUCGGCUUCUCACCCGACCCGUCUUGAAACACGGACCAAGAAGUCUAGCGCGUGCGCGAGUCUUCGGGGCUGCAGAACCCCCUUGGAAGGCGCAAUGAAAGUGAAGGCUGGGCACUUGUGGCCCGCCUGGGUGGGAUCCCCCGUCUAGCGGCGGGGGCGCACCACCGGCCCGUCCUA